GACGAACGCUGGCGGCGUGCUUAACACAUGCAAGUCGAACGGAAAGGCCCUGCUUUUGUGGGGUGCUCGAGUGGCGAACGGGUGAGUAACACGUGAGUAACCUGCCCUUGACUUUGGGAUAACUUCAGGAAACUGGGGCUAAUACCGGAUAGGAGCUCCUGCUGCAUGGUGGGGGUUGGAAAGUUUCGGCGGUUGGGGAUGGACUCGCGGCUUAUCAGCUUGUUGGUGGGGUAGUGGCUUACCAAGGCUUUGACGGGUAGCCGGCCUGAGAGGGUGACCGGCCACAUUGGGACUGAGAUACGGCCCAGACUCCUACGGGAGGCAGCAGUGGGGAAUAUUGCAAAAUGGGCGGAAGACUGAUGCAGCAACGCCGCGUGCGGGAUGACGGCCUUCGGGUUGUAAACCGCUUUCGCCUGUGACGAAGCGUGAGUGACGGUAAUGGGUAAAGAAGCACCGGCUAACUACGUG
Molecule: ribosomal RNA, 468 nt
Filed under: uncultured bacterium
Lineage: Bacteria
Description: partial 16S ribosomal RNA
Rfam family: Bacterial small subunit ribosomal RNA
Source: RNAcentral